GCGGGAGUAGCUCAGUUGAUAGAGCGUAACUUUGCCAAGGUUGAGGUCAAGAGUUCGAGACUCGUCUUCCGCUCCA
This 76-nucleotide transfer RNA is filed under the name Duganella flavida. RNAcentral describes it as "tRNA-Gly". It matches the Rfam family "tRNA". From Rfam's summary of the family: Transfer RNA (tRNA) molecules are approximately 80 nucleotides in length. Their secondary structure includes four short double-helical elements and three loops (D, anti-codon, and T loops). Further hydrogen bonds mediate the characteristic L-shaped molecular structure. tRNAs have two regions of fundamental functional importance: the anti-codon, which is responsible for specific mRNA codon recognition, and the 3' end, to which the tRNAs corresponding amino acid is attached (by aminoacyl-tRNA synthetases). tRNAs cope with the degeneracy of the genetic code in two manners: having more than one tRNA (with a specific anti-codon) for a particular amino acid; and 'wobble' base-pairing, i.e. permitting non-standard base-pairing at the 3rd anti-codon position. Lineage: Bacteria; Pseudomonadati; Pseudomonadota; Betaproteobacteria; Burkholderiales; Oxalobacteraceae. The record is from RNAcentral.